UGAAUGGAAACUAAGAUAAUGGAAACUCAAAAACAGCAGCUGGAAAACAUGAAACACAAAAAAUAGAAAGAAAAACCGAGGUGUGAAAGAUAGAAAGAGACGUGUAGCGAAUUGGAAAAAAGGGAAACAAAGGAAAAAAAAAAGAAAUAAAGGUAGGUAGGUGGACAGUGUAGCCAGACAGAUAUAAAAAAAAAAUAUAACAGAAAAAAACAGUUACUAUAAAAUUAAGGAAAAGAGAAAUGAAUGGAAAUGAAUUAAAAAGUGACGUAACGAGAGAGACAGAAGGAGAAAGUGACCAUGAAAGUGAAGGUACAGGUGGGAAGGUGAGUAGGAUAUCCAGACAUAUAAAAAAGAGAGAGAAAAAAACUAGAAUCCACGUAAUACAAAAAAAAAAAAAAAAAAAAACCGAGGUG
This is a long non-coding RNA of Eriocheir sinensis (Chinese mitten crab), 413 nucleotides long. RefSeq lists it as uncharacterized. The record is from RefSeq and is a predicted model, not a curated record. The transcript is spliced from 2 exons. Lineage: Eukaryota; Metazoa; Arthropoda; Malacostraca; Decapoda; Varunidae.